UACGUAGGGGGCAAGCGUUGUCCGGAAUCACUGGGCGUAAAGCGUGCAUAGGCUGUUUGGCAAGUUGGAAGUGAAAGCCCAGGGCUCAACCCUGGAAUUGCUUUCAAAACUGCCAGACUCGAAUCCGGGAGAGGAUAGCGGAAUUUCCAGUGUAGUAGUGAAAUACGUAGAUAUUGGAAGGAACACCAGUGGCGUAAGCGGCUAUCUGGACCGGCAUUGACGCUGAGGCACGAAAGCGUGGGGAUCAAACAGG
RNAcentral lists this ribosomal RNA (253 nucleotides) under uncultured bacterium. RNAcentral describes it as "partial 16S ribosomal RNA". It matches the Rfam family "Bacterial small subunit ribosomal RNA", at positions 524 to 776 of the family's 1533-position model. The record is from RNAcentral.